GACGAACGCUGGCGGCGUGCUUAACACAUGCGAGUCGAACGGUAAGGCCCUGCUUUUGUGGGGUGCUCGAGUGGCGAACGGGUGAGUAACACGUGAGUAACCUGCCCUUGACUUUGGGAUAACUUCAGGAAACUGGGGCUAAUACCGGAUAGGAGCUCCUGCUGCAUGGUGGGGGUUGGAAAGUUUCGGCGGUUGGGGAUGGACUCGCGGCUUAUCAGCUUGUUGGUGGGGUAGUGGCUUACCAAGGCUUUGACGGGUAGCCGGCCUGAGAGGGUGACCGGCCACAUUGGGACUGAGAUACGGCCCAGACUCCUACGGGAGGCAGCAGUGGGGAAUAUUGCACAAUGGGCGGAAGCCUGAUGCAGCAACGCCGCGUGCGGGAUGACGGCCUUCGGGUUGUAAACCGCUUUCGCCUGUGACGAAGCGUGAGUGACGGUAAUGGGUAAAGAAGCACCGGCUAACUACGUG
This 468-nucleotide ribosomal RNA is filed under the name uncultured bacterium. RNAcentral's name for it is "partial 16S ribosomal RNA". It matches the Rfam family "Bacterial small subunit ribosomal RNA", at positions 28 to 507 of the family's 1533-position model. The record is from RNAcentral.